RNAcentral lists this transfer RNA (73 nucleotides) under Stegodyphus dumicola. RNAcentral describes it as "tRNA-Thr". It matches the Rfam family "tRNA". Rfam says of the family: Transfer RNA (tRNA) molecules are approximately 80 nucleotides in length. Their secondary structure includes four short double-helical elements and three loops (D, anti-codon, and T loops). Further hydrogen bonds mediate the characteristic L-shaped molecular structure. tRNAs have two regions of fundamental functional importance: the anti-codon, which is responsible for specific mRNA codon recognition, and the 3' end, to which the tRNAs corresponding amino acid is attached (by aminoacyl-tRNA synthetases). tRNAs cope with the degeneracy of the genetic code in two manners: having more than one tRNA (with a specific anti-codon) for a particular amino acid; and 'wobble' base-pairing, i.e. permitting non-standard base-pairing at the 3rd anti-codon position. The record is from RNAcentral. Lineage: Eukaryota; Metazoa; Arthropoda; Arachnida; Araneae; Eresidae.
GCCUUCGUGGUGUAGUGGUCAGCAUGCUCGACGCGUAUUCGAGAGGUCCGUGGUUCGAAUCCCGGCGAGGGCA